AUGCUCCCAUGCAAAUUCCGUAUUUCAGAAAUUUCAUUGAAAUCUAGUCCACGGAAAGUUAAAAAUGAAGGAGGAGCCUUUCCUAACUCCACUGGCUGCGGCAUCUGUGGGAAAGUGUGGCUGGGUCUUCGAGGAGCCGCACCAGUGGCCUCUGUGCUGUCCUACGAAAGCCUGGUCCACGCCGUGGCCAGAGCCAGAAGCGUGACAGCAAUGACAGUUUUUUCCCCUGGAUACAGCUAGACUUCAACUUCAGGUUGGUGAGAAAAGAAAAUCCAAAACUACACACAUGGUACUCCUGGAGAUCAUUAAAGAAGAAGGACUCCUGGCACCAUAUCGAGAGUGGUUUCCAGUGAUUUCCAGUCUCUGCUGCUCCAAUUUUGUCUAUUUCUACACUUUUAAUAGCCUCAAAGCAGUCUGGGUCAAAGGUCAACGUUCUACCACUGGAAAACAUCUGGUAGUUGGGUUUGUUGCAGGAGUAGUUAAGGUGUUACUAACAACUCCACUCUGGGUGGUAAACACCAGACUGAAGCUGCAAGGGGCAAAAUUUAGGAAUGAAGACAUUGUACCAAUGAACUACAAAGGUAUCAUUGAUGCUUUUCAUCAGAUCAUUCGAGAUGAAGGAAUCUCGGCUUUAUGGAAUGGCACAGUUCCCUCAUUGCUGUUGGUCUUCAAUCUUGCCAUCCAGUUCAUGUUUUAUGAAGGUUUAAAAUGGCAGCUUUUAAAGAAACAGAUGAAGCUUUCUUCCUUGGAUGUGUUCAUCAUUGGUGCAGUAGCCAAAGCGACUGCCACCAGGCUCACCUAUCCCAUGCACACAGUACAGUCAAUUCUGAGGUUUGGGCAUCAUAGACUAAACCCAGAAAACAGAACAUUGGGAAAUCUUUGGAAUACUCUCUAUCUUCUUCACGAACGAGUAAGGCGCUUUGGAAUACUGGGACUCUACAAAGGCCUGGAAGCCAAACUGCUACAGACAGUCCUCACUGCUGCUCUCAUGUUCCUUGUUUAUGAGAAACUGACAGCUGCCACCUUCACAGUUGUGGGGCUGAAGCGUGCACACAAACACUGAGACUCCUUCCCAUGAAAAAUUCCGAAGAUUCUCAAGAGGGAGGUUUCCUCGUGAGUGAAGAGAAGUGAUUCUCCUUUGACUCUGGCUCCUGCCACCACAAAUGUUACCCUCAUUGGCUUGAAAAGCAUCCAAGGGUGAACAGGGAGUUUGGCCAACUGGACCUGUUGUCACCUUGUCAUGCUGACUGGUUGGAUUUUGGGGUGGCAGUUGUACGAAUAUGAAAAAAAAACCUUGUUGAAAACCUAAAAA
Molecule: RNA transcript, 1312 nt
Organism: Mandrillus leucophaeus (drill)
Lineage: Eukaryota; Metazoa; Chordata; Mammalia; Primates; Cercopithecidae
Gene name: peroxisomal membrane protein PMP34 pseudogene
Exons: 2
Source: RefSeq, a predicted model, not a curated record